CACCCAUUUGCACCUAAAUCCUGGAAUAGGUGAUGAUCCUCCACAAGCUGGCCCAGCACAUGCCCCCAAACUAAAACAAACAAACUCAUUUGCCAUACAAAUUGUUUACGAUUCAUUAAAAAGCAAAAUUGCAUAUCCCGGUGCUGGCAGCUGAGGCCGAGUCUCCACGGGCGGAGGGGGCAUUCACUGAGUUGCCUUUGUAUGCUGGGAGGACCAAGCCGGAGGUUCCCACUAUGAGCCCGGAGUCUGAGCAGCCAGAUGACACAGGAGCUUUGUUUCCAGAACCCUUGGAAAUGUGAAACUCUACAAGAACACGUGAUUUGAACACAGCAUGUAAUAACAGCUAACGUUUAUCCAGCAUUUCCUCUCAGCCAGGCGAUGUUCCAAGAGCCUUAAGUAUUUUUUCCAGGAAAAUGAGGCCCAGAAAUGAGGACUGCUUACAGUCAUGGACCAAGUUAAUGGCAGAGAUGGAGCUCCAUCCCAGGAAGGAAACAGAGAGAACAAGACUUUGGAAACACCUAUCUUCCAGGGUACCAGAAAAUGCUAUUCAAGCUGCCAAGAGAAGGAAGCAGUUAAUAGUCCUACCCAGCUGUGAUACCUACCAACCAUGGCAAUGACCAGAAUGGCAAGAUAUCCAUAAAGUCAACCAAUAUGUGAGCUCUUUACAGCAAAUGAAGGCCAUCACAAAAAUCCAUGACUGGACACAAAGCAGCCACCAAUCAAUCCUGUGGAGCCCAGCCCCAAAGGACACAUCUGCACCACAGCUCCUGCAUCUAUGUUUUUUAAACAUUCCACAACAGGGGAUGGGAAGAUUGUAAGAACCAAAUUACCAGGAAGUCUGCUGUGAAACAGUUUCUCCUAGAAGUGUCUGCAUAAACAAGAUCUGAACAAUGGCAAUGUCAAUAGACUUGAAAGAGGAAAAAAACCUCACAGGGCCACAUCCCUGGAUAAGGAACAUAGUCAACUGAUGAGUGCUGAGAAAUGGGAGAGUCAUCUUCCGUUAGGAAUAAGCUCCAUAAUUAGUUAACUAACACAAACAGUAUCUCUGAAACCAUUUAUAUACAAACAAUAGAAUGGACUCAAAAGGUUGUAUUUAUAUAUUUGUGCAUAUAUACAUGUAACAAUAACAAUGGAACAAGAAGACGCUAUUAGUGUGAGUGUUUGGGGAACUUGGGAGUAGUAGAUAGAGGGAGAAAAGGGAAGGGGAAAGUGAUGUAAUUAUAUUUUAAUUAAAAAAUACAAAACAUUACCAAGAAAAAUCACUCGAUGAAUUUUGUUUUGUGAUUAAGGCAGAGUUUCUCAUAAUUUCUGAAAUGGAUCUAAACAUACUCUUACAUUUAUGCUAUGUAUUAAUGAAGAAUGUUGUUCUCAGAAUUGAUGAUUAUAAAAAUAAAUAUUGAUCACCUGAA
Molecule: long non-coding RNA, 1409 nt
Organism: Mesocricetus auratus (golden hamster)
Lineage: Eukaryota; Metazoa; Chordata; Mammalia; Rodentia; Cricetidae
Exons: 5
Source: RefSeq, a predicted model, not a curated record